Molecule: ribosomal RNA, 404 nt
Filed under: uncultured bacterium
Lineage: Bacteria
Description: bacterial SSU rRNA
Rfam family: Bacterial small subunit ribosomal RNA
Source: RNAcentral
UGGGGAAUCUUGGACAAUGGGGGAAACCCUGAUCCAGCCAUGCCGCGUGAGCGAUGAAGGCCUUAGGGUUGUAAAGCUCUUUCGUGGGGGAAGAUAAUGACUGUACCCCAAGAAGAAGCCCCGGCUAACUCCGUGCCAGCAGCCGCGGUAAUACGGAGGGGGCUAGCGUUGUUCGGAAUUACUGGGCGUAAAGGGCACGUAGGCGGGCCAGCAAGUUAGAGGUGAAAUCCCGGGGCUCAACCCCGGAACUGCCUUUAAAACUGUUGGUCUUGAGUUCGAGAGAGGUGAGUGGAAUUCCGAGUGUAGAGGUGAAAUUCGUAGAUAUUCGGAGGAACACCAGUGGCGAAGGCGACUCACUGGCUCGAUACUGACGCUGAGGUGCGAAAGUGUGGGGAGCAAACAGG